RNAcentral lists this ribosomal RNA (300 nucleotides) under uncultured Acidobacteriaceae bacterium. Its description in RNAcentral is "bacterial SSU rRNA". It matches the Rfam family "Bacterial small subunit ribosomal RNA", at positions 115 to 429 of the family's 1533-position model. Lineage: Bacteria; Pseudomonadati; Acidobacteriota; Terriglobia; Terriglobales; Acidobacteriaceae. The record is from RNAcentral.
ACGUGAAUAAUCUACCUCCGAGUGGGGAAUAACUGAGAGAAAUCUUAGCUAAUACCGCAUAACACUUACGAGUCAAAGCAGCAAUGCGCUUGGAGAGGAGUUCGCGGCCGAUUAGUUAGUUGGCGGGGUAAUGGCCCACCAAGACGAUGAUCGGUAUCCGGCCUGAGAGGGCGCACGGACACACUGGAACUGAAACACGGUCCAGACUCCUACGGGAGGCAGCAGUGGGGAAUUUUGCGCAAUGGGGGAAACCCUGACGCAGCAACGCCGCGUGGAGGAUGAAAUAUCUUGGUAUGUAAA